GAACGUGACUACGCGGGAUCGAACCGGCAACGAUAACGCGUUUCCCCAACGAUUCUUAGCGUCGCGUCGCGUCGCGGCGGGCUCGUACCGCGGUCACAGCCGACCUUCCGGUUUUCUUUAGGCCGCGGUUUGGGGAGCCAAAGUUGCGGGUGUAACGAGUGUAAAAAGUUUCUCAUGUUUCGGUUUUGUCCAUCACCGUUUGCGUUAACUGCAUAUAACACUGCGGCCUUGAUAUGUAAUGAUGUUAACAUGUUGCCACGGUAACCGAUAAUUCGGAAUUGUCUGGACAUGAUUAUAUGAUUGAUGAAUACGUUUGGAGACUUGAUUGAUAGAUGUUCACCUUUGAUACGAAAGGAUCGGUGAUGCAGAAGAGAUCAUUUGUUUAGUCGAAUCAGCUGAGCCAACUGAUCAUGGCGGUCCCUCUCCUGGUGACCAGUGGUGGUCAACGUGAUCGUCUUGAUGCAAGAGGUUGUUCCUCGUGGUUUUUGGAGGAUCGAUUAAACUGCCGUCUACAUAUGACAGUGAGUAGUGAAUUGGUUCAAUGGGCGGUCUACUUUUCUAUCACUAUUGUCACUAUAGUCACCUGCAAUUGUCAAAGGAUCAACGGGUACGAGUGCUCAUUUCGCUAUUCGAUCUGAGGGACUGUUUAAUGUAAUCGGCUUAGGCUGUGGUUGUGCUGAUUGCGUAUUCAAAUGAACCAACAUUCUGACGAACUUAGUAUGUGAUAAUUAUGCAGAAAGAGGUGCCACGCUGUAGGCACCUGCUUAGGCAAUCAAAUUAACGAUACUUGAAGUUAUUCGUUCGAUAUUGUGGAUUUUAUAAUUAUAAAUUCGUUUGAAGGCUGUUUUAUUUUCCCAAGAAACCUGGUAGCUUGCGGUAAUAAUUUUAAUUGGUACAAAUAUAUAUCAAACGUGCAACUAUUAAACAUGUUCGAUUUAUUGAAUAUACUUCUGCAAACUAAAGGAAACUAGAGGUUUAAACUCACAGAUAGUAACACGCGUAAGAAAACAUUCAGAAUCAAGCGUCCAACAACAUAUUUCAAGGUCAGUGAAAUCAAUGGUAACUUUUCUUUUACAAAUUCGCACAAAAAUAUAAAUAGCAAUCAUUAGAUAUUUAUUCGUUUAAACUCCAGGUUAUCUCAAUAAGCAACCAUUACAACUGUCUUAUAUAGCGUUUCAUAUGAAAACAGUACAAUAGUCCGCAAUGAUCAGUCUCGUUCCUAACGAGUCUUCUAUCUCGAGGAAAGUCGAAAGUCUUCGAGACAUCCUCCGCGUGAAACCUAGCCUCGGAUAUUCUUAUCGGGAGAAACUAUUGGUACAACCAAUUGGUACGCGGGCUAAAACGCGUUAGGCGUUGUUAGCGGGAACUACAAUACCCAUUGGCGUAGUGUUUCAGGUGGCCAAAUGCCCGUAACAUCAUCCCCUUUCGAUCAUAUAAUUCUGUAAUUGUUCCCACGGAAGCCGGCUAAGCGGUAAUCUCCGCGUUAUUUACCCAGAAACAAAUUAUCGAGAAGAGUGUCUGUCAAAAUCUCGGAUAAAACGAUUCGCCGCCGCUCGUGUUCUCGAAAUACAGAAUAAUGGCAACAAACCCAUUGUCCGCGAUAUGCCUUCCGCGCGAAUGUUAUGGUCUUUGUUCGAACGACGAAAAAAAAGCCGAUUGAUUCGACACAAUAGCCUUGGGUCACGUGAUAAGUCGUUGUUCAUCGAUAAAUGUUAGCCCUCGGCGGUAGAUAAUGUCGUUAGCAAUAGCUAUCUCACCUAUGAGACAACAGUGUUGGCUAACUAUAGAGAAAGUACCGACGAGAUUCUUAAUAUAAUCAAACAGAAAGCAUACGUUAAAUUGUAACAAGAUAAAUAGAAAUGAAAACAGAACGUUUUACAUUUUUACGUAGUUAAGUGAAAGCGUAAAAUUGUUUUUCGUCCGUUAAGGGUUGAACAGCGGAAGAGCCAUAGCGAAGCGAAGCAAGCGACAAAUUCGAAGUAGUUUGUCAACUGUGGUACCAAAACUUUUAUAGGUGGUACGCUGUGUUCGAAAUUAAUCAUUUUUCGCUGCGUUUUAUACGAUUAUAACAUUCGCUGUAAUUGGGGACGUUAAUCUUGAUAACGACUCAUCGAAAAUCUACUCGCGUUCUAACAAAUUUGGGAGGAAGAGAGAACAUCGAAAUCACAUCGCUAUUAACGAAAGCAUACUCCGACGGUUCACUAUUAAAAUGUUCUGCGUCCGUGUUACGGAUCACUAGUCCCCGACCGGUGAUUUUAUCGUACAAUUCCAUUGUUCUUUUAUCGACCGAACUAGUUUUCGGCCUCGUUUCAUCUCGCGGAAAAAUGUUUACUGUUCCCAUUUUCUGUAUUUCUUUUUUCUCGUGGUAGAACUUAACGAACAAGUUGUUUGAAAGUUUAACGAAGGCAGAAAUGAAAAAUAAGGGAACCAGAAUCCCACGAGUCUCUUGCGAUUAAUAGUUAACGAAGUACAUAGGUUUAUCUACAACCUUGUUCACCGAUUUCUCUAGAUACCACCCUCGAAAGUACUUCAGCAGCUAAUUUUAAAUAAUAAAUUUAAGAGAUCUGUUUAAUUGAAAAAUAUUGCAUACAAUUCCUAGCCUCCAGGAAAAUUAAGUAAUCUUUAGUACUUUAUCCGAACGAUCACAAGAC
Molecule: long non-coding RNA, 2651 nt
Organism: Nomia melanderi (Alkali bee)
Lineage: Eukaryota; Metazoa; Arthropoda; Insecta; Hymenoptera; Halictidae
Source: RefSeq, a predicted model, not a curated record